Molecule: small nuclear RNA, 18 nt
Filed under: Arabidopsis thaliana (thale cress)
Lineage: Eukaryota; Viridiplantae; Streptophyta; Magnoliopsida; Brassicales; Brassicaceae
Description: snRNA_00762
Source: RNAcentral
CCCCGAAAAUGGAUGGCG